GGGAUGCUGGAUGUUCGAAGGAUUGAAUUGCACGGUAACUUACCACUGAAGGAUAUCUUUGAAAUUUUCAUCAAAAAAUUUUACAUCUUCUGGGUAGGCAUGACACAUUGCUAGAUGUCAAUCAUGUCUUGUAGGUUUUCAUAAAUUAAAGAUUUUAAUUCAUGGGUUAAUUAGAAAGGGUUUUAAUUUGACAACUUGGAUAUGCAUCGGUUUGACCUAAUUCAGUUAGAUGGACUCUAAUCAAUUCGGGUCAACAUAAAUUCGGAUCUACUGCUGGCUAGAUAUGGAACUCAAAGGGUCACACACAUCAAGAAAUCAGUCAAAGAUUUUAUUUGAUUUAAUCAUGGGAUAUUGGAUCCAGAUUGGGUGCCUAAUUGACAAGCUAGCACUUGUUGGCGAACCAAAGCUCCUAACCUAAUCUAUUUGGGUUUGAAACCUUUCCAAUAAGUCAACCAAAAUUAAGUGGGACUUAAUUUGGUUAGUCUUAUUUUAAUCAGCCUUAAUUUAUAAUUUUUUCAUGAUUUUAACAUCAUUUAUCAAGAGUCCCAAGUUGGUAGGACUCUUGGUGCAAGGCG
Molecule: long non-coding RNA, 575 nt
Filed under: Elaeis guineensis (African oil palm)
Lineage: Eukaryota; Viridiplantae; Streptophyta; Magnoliopsida; Arecales; Arecaceae
Description: long non-coding RNA (EGUI_LNC049157)
Source: RNAcentral